RNAcentral lists this unclassified non-coding RNA (348 nucleotides) under soil metagenome. RNAcentral describes it as "partial contains 5.8S ribosomal RNA, internal transcribed spacer 2, and large subunit ribosomal RNA". The stretch from base 1 to 120 matches the Rfam family "5.8S ribosomal RNA", at positions 35 to 154 of the family's 154-position model. The record is from RNAcentral.
GAUGAAGAACGGAGCGAAAUGCGAUAAGUAGUGUGAAUUGCAGAAUUCAGUGAAUCAUCGAAUCUUUGAACGCACAUUGCGCCCGCCAGUAUUCUGGCGGGCAUGCCUGUCUGAGCGUCAUUUCAACCCUCAUGCCCCUAGGGCGUGGUGUUGGGGAUCGGCCAAAGCCCGCGAGGGACGGCCGGCCCCUAAAUCUAGUGGCGGACCCGUCGUGGCCUCCUCUGCGAAGUAGUGAUAUUCCGCAUCGGAGAGCGAUGAGCCCCUGCCGUUAAACCCCCAACUUUCCAAGGUUGACCUCAGAUCAGGUAGGAAUACCCGCUGAACUUAAGCAUAUCAAUAAGCGGAGGA